AUUGAACGCUGGCGGCAUGCUUUACACAUGCAAGUCGAACGGUAACAGGCCGCUAGGUGCUGACGAGUGGCGAACGGGUGAGUAAUGCAUCGGAAAGUGCCCAGUCGUGGGGGAUAACUACUCGAAAGAGUAGCUAAUACCGCAUACGAUCUAUGGAUGAGAGCGGGGGACCGUAAGGGCUCGCGCGAUUGGAGCGGCCGGUGCGGGAGUAGGUAGUUCGUGGGGUAAAGGCUCACCAAGCCAACGAUCUGUAGCUGGUGUGAGAGGACAACCGGCCACACUGGGACUGAGACACGGCCCAGACUCCUACGGGAGGCAGCAGUGGGGAAUUUUGGACAAUGGGCGCAAGCCUGAUCCAGCAAUGCCGCGUGCAGGAAGAAGGCCUUCGGGUUGUAAACUGCUUUUGUACGGAACGAAACGGCUCUGGUUAAUACCCGGGGCUAAUGACGGUACCGUAAGAAUAAGCACCGGCUAACUACGUG
RNAcentral lists this ribosomal RNA (482 nucleotides) under uncultured bacterium. RNAcentral describes it as "partial 16S ribosomal RNA". It matches the Rfam family "Bacterial small subunit ribosomal RNA", at positions 30 to 507 of the family's 1533-position model. The record is from RNAcentral.